UGGGGAAUAUUGGACAUUGGGCGAAAGCCUGAUCCAGCCAUGCCGCGUGUGUGAAGAAGGUCUUCGGAUUGUAAAGCACUUUAAGUUGGGAGGAAGGGCAUUAACCUAAUACGUUAGUGUUUUGACGUUACCGACAGAAUAAGCACCGGCUAACUCUGUGCCAGCAGCCGCGGUAAUACAGAGGGUGCAAGCGUUAAUCGGAAUUACUGGGCGUAAAGCGCGCGUAGGUGGUUUGUUAAGUUGGAUGUGAAAUCCCCGGGCUCAACCUGGGAACUGCAUUCAAAACUGACUGACUAGAGUAUGGUAGAGGGUGGUGGAAUUUCCUGUGUAGCGGUGAAAUGCGUAGAUAUAGGAAGGAACACCAGUGGCGAAGGCGACCACCUGGACUAAUACUGACACUGAGGUGCGAAAGCGUGGGGAGCAAACA
RNAcentral lists this ribosomal RNA (427 nucleotides) under uncultured bacterium. RNAcentral's name for it is "partial 16S ribosomal RNA". It matches the Rfam family "Bacterial small subunit ribosomal RNA", at positions 355 to 774 of the family's 1533-position model. The record is from RNAcentral.